AGCCCGCCGGGGCCGCAGCGGAGCUGAGGGAGAGCAGCGCCUGCGGGGCUGGAGGAGCCCGAGGGGACUGUGGGAACCCAGGCAAUCUGAAGGAGCUGGGGGCUGAGAACUGGAAUUGCCGGGGCUGGAGAAACGGCGUCUGUUACUCACUGCUUUCAACAUUCCAGACUGUGGUGGAUUGAUUCAGUGCCCCAGCAUACAAGUAUUUAUUAUCUUUGGAGAAGCAGGCACUGCAAAGGCCUUUCAGGAGAGAUGUGGGCUGAAAAUGGAUGGUUGGCAUUAGAUUGUUAUGCUGACCCUGUCCAGCAGCCUGGAGAUCACAGAGCUCUAGUCCA
Molecule: long non-coding RNA, 335 nt
Filed under: Cyanistes caeruleus (blue tit)
Lineage: Eukaryota; Metazoa; Chordata; Aves; Passeriformes; Paridae
Description: lncRNA (ENSCCEG00000024135.1)
Source: RNAcentral